Molecule: long non-coding RNA, 985 nt
Filed under: Mytilus galloprovincialis (Mediterranean mussel)
Lineage: Eukaryota; Metazoa; Mollusca; Bivalvia; Mytilida; Mytilidae
Source: RNAcentral
UGCUCAAGUGGUGUUCUUUUCUUUCAAACUGUCUGACUGAUAACAAUGAAUCAAAAUGUAUAUACCUUAAUCAUAUGUAAAACUAGAUUUAAUUAUAACAAUUAUUAUUUCUUAUGUAUUACAUAAGAAAUUAUUAUUGAUAAGGAGUCAGAGGUGGGUGGUUGUGGGUGUGUUGCUUUGACCCAUAUUCAACAUAACAGAAAAAGUAAAUGAACUCAAACAAUUUUUCAAUUAUAUGAUGUUAUAAUAAAAAAAAAAAUCAACAUUUUGAUGGGGUAAAUACAUAUUUUUAUCAACCCAUGAUAUCAUUAACUUCAGACUGCGCCCCCAAGUCAAUAUACUUUCAGUUAGUUAAUAAAAUAUUUAUUUACCUAUCAAAAGACUAUGAUUUUAUUCUUAUUUGUUUCUGGUUUUAUGUUGCUAAAAAUAAAUGAUGUACAAUUAAAAAAUAAUUAAAAAGAACAUGAAAUAUAACAAGAUUAAAAAGGGUAUCCAUCCCAAGAAACAGCAACCUAAUAAAAUGCCCAUAUCUACAACAUCCAUUCAACCUAUGAAAUGCAGAUAAGAAAGUUUACUCUCAACCCAUUAUAACGGUCAAUCUAUUAAUUUCUACCCAAUCAAAUGUAAUAAAAAAAAAAUUGAAUUAAGUUUUUUAAGUUUUUAUAUCUAAUAUCAAUCUUUUUAUGUUGUCUCUAAAGUAUUAAAACAUUGAAAUGAAAAUAGAGGGAAAGAAGUUAAACUAAUAAAUGACUAGCUAAUUACCGAUUAAAUGCAAUAUAUAUGUACAAAAUGAACAAACAUACAAAGUUGCUUAACAAUCCGAUUCCAAAUAAAAUUAUUUUACUAUAAAAUAUUACAACAUAAAUCUACUGGUGAUUUUUAUCUACAAUUUUACAUUUGCUUACCGGGGUAGUCUAAGGGAGUUUUUUCCUUAUUAAAAAUGUACAUGGGCUAGUACCAAUAUAACAAUGAACUGGUUAUAUCA